This 497-nucleotide ribosomal RNA is filed under the name uncultured bacterium. RNAcentral describes it as "partial 16S ribosomal RNA". It matches the Rfam family "Bacterial small subunit ribosomal RNA", at positions 28 to 507 of the family's 1533-position model. The record is from RNAcentral.
GAUGAACGCUGGCGGCGUGCCUAAUACAUGCAAGUCGAGCGAACAGACGAGGAACUUGCUCCUCUGACGUUAGCGGCGGACGGGUGAGUAAAACGUGGAUAACCUACCUAUAAGACUGGGAUAACUUCGGGAAACCGGAGCUAUUACCGGAUAAUAUAUUGAACCGCAUGGUUCAAUAGUGAAAGACGGUGUUGCUGUCACUUAUAGAUUGAUCCGGGCCGCAUUAGCUAGUUGGUAAGGUAACGGCUUACCAAGGCAACGAUGGGUAGCCGACCUGAGAGGGGAAUGGGCAAAACUGGACCGGGACAACGCCCAAGACUCCUACGGGGGGCAGCAGGAGGAAAUCUUCGGAAAUGACCGAAGUCUGAACGGGGAACGCCGGGGUGAUGGAGGAGGGUCUCCGGAUCUAAAGAUUCUGUUAUUAGGGAGAAAGGAAUUUGUAAGAAAAGAUACACGGCUUGACGGUACCUAAUCAGAAAGCCACGGCUAACUACGUG